GGAAUACAUAGAGGGUCACAGACACUGAUGCCCACAUACUAGGGGCAGAUGUCUGUACAGAUUUCCACGGAAUUUUUAGUCAGAGUUGGGAAUGUGAAACAAGGCCAGGGUUUGUAAAUGGCAACAAAGAGGGAGAGACAGCGAAGUAUGCUGUAAAACGAAACUUCCAAGUUCGAAGAGCCUCUCUUCUCCUUCUACAAAGUAAGAGACCAGGCAAGUUGCUACAUCAACUUCCCAGGUCAGGUGAGGGGUCCCCCUUCUCUGCCAGGAUGGCACAACCACAGGCUGGGGAGGAAGGGCAGGGCCUCGCGGGAGGGAUCACUCACCAAGCGGCAGGACGAAGAAGAAGGGGAACCAGCAGAGCACGAAGACGCCCACGCACGAUGGCCAGCGUCUUGGCAGCCUUCUUCUCGCGGGGAGAACUUGAGGAGGCGCACUGAGAGCGAGCUGCGGAAGGUGUGGCCCUUGGUGCUCCGAGUUCCGCUGUGCGCCCGUGCCGGCACCGGUGGCUGCCUCAAGCGACAGUGGAUGCGCAGCACCACCUCCGAGGCCUUGCCCGCUCGCGCUUGAUGCCGGCCUCCAGGCUGCGCGUGGUGCUGCGCGCUACUAUGUACACGCGGCAGUACAUGACCACGAUGACCGCCAUGGGAAGGUAGAAGGAGCACAGCGAAGAGAAGACAGCGUAGCCGGCCUCCUCCGUGAUGCCACAGAAACGCUCAUCCAGGGGCACGGGCUCCUUCCAGCCCAGCAGCGGCCCCACCGACACCACGAGGGCCACGGCCCAGAGCAGCGCCAGGAUGGCGGCCGCUUGCGCUCAGUCAUGAUGGCCGGGUACUUGAGCGAGUGGCGAACGCCACGUGCACGUCCACGGAGAUGGUGCACAGGCUGAGGAUGGAGGCGGUGCAGCACAGCACGUCCACGGCUGCCCACACGUCGCAGAAGGCCCGACCGAAGGCCCAGAAGCCCAGGACCUCCAUGGUGGCAGAGAACGCAGCACGGUGGUGCUCAACAGCAGGUCGGCCACGGCCAGGUUCACAAUGAAAUAGUUGGUGACCGUCUGCAGGUGGCGGUUGCAGGCCACCGAGAGGAUGACAAGCAGAUUGCCCGCCACGGCGGUGAGGAUGAAGGCUGCCAGAAACACGCCCACGCCCACGCCCUGCGCGCUCACCACCAGCCCCCCGACGGCCGCCGUGCCGUUCACCUCGCCGCCCGCGCCCGCGGCCCCGGGUUCCCCGGCCGAGCUCCGGUUGUCCUCACUGCCGCCCGCGCCCACCACGCCGCCACCGCCGCCGCCUGCGGCCCUGGCACACCGCCCACCGCUGGGCCCUCCGAGGCCGCCGUGCCGCCCGCGCCGCUCCCGCCGCCGCCAGCCCCGGAGCCCCCGGCGCUGCCGUCCGGGCGGGGUCCCUCGAAAGUGACGCUGAGGAGGUCGCGGAAAGUCAUCUCAACGCGCAGCCGUCGGGGGCCGGGCCGGGGCGCAGGACGAGCGGCGGGCAGGGAGGGGGACAGUGGGCAUUGCUGCAGGGCUCUGGGUCCAGCCCCGCGCGCCAAUCCGUCGGGGUCUUUUCCAAGUUCUUGGGACGCGGAGCCGGCUGCCCGAGCACGGAGCUGCCAGGCCGGGCGGCCGGGGACCCUGGAGCCGGCUGAGCGCUGAACGGAAGAGCGGGGCCCCGGGCCGCGCGCCGCUCUGAGAGUUCCCGGGCGAGUGGGCAGAGCGGUGGCUCCGGGACCCGGCGGUGCCGGGUGCGGCCACUGCGGCGGCGCUCCUAACUCCGCGCGGGGGGCGGGACGGAGGAGGGGCGGCGCAGGGAGGGAGGAGGGGGCGGCCAGCGCCCAGGAAUGGGGCCGUGCUCCGCGGGAGAAGGGACUGCGUGGGCCAGCGGGGUGCCGGGGUCUGGAGGGGCUGCGGGGCUGGUGCGCGCUCGGCCCAGCGGAGGCCACUUACGCCUCGCUGCGGGCGCCUCAGACCGCCCUCUGCCCUCGCGGUGCCUUUCGCGCCCCCACCCGCUCCUCUCCUGGGCCCUCACCUCCUUUGCCCUCAGCUGCGUCCCUCUUCCGCCCGCCCUCUCCAGCCUCCGGGUCACUCGCCGGUUGCCCUUGGGCGCGCGGAGCUCAGAAGGCGCGAUUCCCAGGUCUCCCGGUUCCGGCCGCCAGAGAGCAGCAAGCGUCCGGGUUCUGCGGACUGCGGGCUGGACCGCGCAGUGCCGCGGCGGGUUGCCUCCUGAGAGUACCUGGAUGAACUAUGUACCUCCUUCCUUCUCCUAGUCCAUUGAUCGAGGCACGGUCUCAGGCACCACUGCCCAGCGCGGUGGCGAGGAGAGAGCCCCGGAAGCGGCCAGAGACCAUAACCUUGGCAGCCCUUCAUCCCAUGGACAAGUGCAACCCAGAUGUUUGGGGAGUCACAGCCCUCUAGGAGAAGCCUUUGACCAGCAGGGAUCAGAAACUGAGAGGGUCUCCGUUGACUUACCCGCCGGCCGGGACAAGUGGCGCCCAACGUGGGGCCAGAGAACGGGGGAUCCAGUGAAGGACGCUGCUCAGGGGCCCUAAGAUUAAGAUUGAGGAACAAAGAGCAUACUCGACAUAGAAGAGGCUUGCGAUUGACGUGGACCUGCCGUCUUUUUGCACCUCGUUGCAGACCUGAUUGUUCUAGGUAGAGACCAUGGAAAGAUGUACUUUGGAAAGGAACCUGAUGUCAU
This is a long non-coding RNA of Heterocephalus glaber (naked mole-rat), 2696 nucleotides long. The record is from Ensembl. Lineage: Eukaryota; Metazoa; Chordata; Mammalia; Rodentia; Bathyergidae.